RNAcentral lists this ribosomal RNA (496 nucleotides) under uncultured bacterium. Its description in RNAcentral is "partial 16S ribosomal RNA". It matches the Rfam family "Bacterial small subunit ribosomal RNA", at positions 29 to 507 of the family's 1533-position model. The record is from RNAcentral.
AUGAACGCUGGCGGCGUGCCUAAUACAUGCAAGUCGAGCGAACGGACGAGAAGCUUGCUUCUCUGAUGUUAGCGGCGGACGGGUGAGUAACCCGUGGAUAACCUACCUAUAAGACUGGGAUAACUUCGGGAAACCGGAGCUAAUACCGGAUAAUAUUUUGAACCGCAUGGUUAAAAAGUGAAAGACGGUCUUGCUGUCACUUAUAGAUGGAUCCGCGCUGCAUUAGCUAGUUGGUAAGGUAACGGCUUACCAAGGCAACGAUGCAUAGCCGACCUGAGAGGGUGAUCGGCCACACUGGAACUGAGACACGGUCCAGACUCCUACGGGAGGCAGCAGUAGGGAAUCUUCCGCAAUGGGCGAAAGCCUGACGGAGCAACGCCGCGUGAGUGAUGAAGGUCUUCGGAUCGUAAAACUCUGUUAUUAGGGAAGAACAUAUGUGUAAGUAACUGUGCACAUCUUGACGGUACCUAAUCAGAAAGCCACGGCUAACUACGUG